AUCCAUCCAUCCAUCCGGAUUUGGAUCCAUCUCUUCCCCUCUUCCGUCGCCGCCGAACCAACCCUAGCUAGCUGCCUACCUCGGAUCAGUCCGGCUGCGAGAGGCCACCGGCGGCAUGGCUGCGUGCGAUGCGAGCGCUCUAAUCGGAUCAAAUCAGAUAGAUCUGACCGAAUCCCGCCGCCGCGCCAGCCCCGCUCCCCGUGGCCGAUGACCGCGUCGGCUGGGGCCGCGUCCCUCCCCGGACGGCUGCGAUGAUGGAGGAACCCGCCGGCGCCGGCCAGGCUCCCGAGCGGCCGACGCGCCGGGUCGCCGCUCCUCGGGGCCAUCCCCUCCCGCCGCGCCGGCUCGGCGACCCCUCUGGGAUGCCGCCGGUGCUGGGGAACGUCCGCGGCGGCGCGGCCUGGGGACCGAGCGGCGGGGCCCGUGGUGCUCUCCGGUCGAGGGCUUGGUCGGGCGAGCUCUCGUUGCCGGAUCGCUGACCCAUCGUCCCGGUGGCCGCUGCGUCAGUUCCGCACCGCUACGGAGCCGCCAGCCGCCGCCGUUCCAUUGCCUUGGAUUCGGUUGUGGCGUGGGCCGGAACCGUGCUCUGUUGUCUGAUGCGUUGUUCGAGCCGGGAGGUUUGGUCGGUCGAGGCCAGGCAUGAGCAGCUCCUGAGCAGGAUGGAUGGAUGGAUGCAUUCAUGUGUCGUGAACUAAAACCACGACUCCUAUUUUGGAACGGAGGGAGUAUGUAUGUAUGGAUAUCAUGGUCAUGUUGCUUGGUGUGGGGGUUGAACCUCCUUUUUUGGAAAAAAAAGAGGGGCAAUGAUGAUGAUGACGACGACGAUGGCUGAAAUAAUCAUGUCUUGAGCAAUCAAGACAGUCGUGGCGUGGUGGUACUAAACAGAGCCGAAAAAUCGGUGUCUGCGUUGGAGUUGGCCUUAGAGCCCACCCUCGCCUCUCUUGCAGCCUGUCUAAUUUAUCGCUGAUGUUGGAUGCUUUGUGCCUCGGACGGUCAUUCUGUUGAGUGAUAACCAUGGCAGUUCUCUUGCAUCGUGAUGGGUAGAUUAUGCAGCAAGAGAUUGUGAGGGUUGGGCUUGAAGAUGGAAGACAAAACUGAGCCUCUUUUGCUAUGCUACAUAUACCCCCCACCCCUCUACCUCUAACCCUAAACCAAAUCAGUCGAGCUCUCAUUGCCUACUCGCUGGCCAAUCUGGGUGGUGCCCGCAUCAGUUCACUGCUGCGGUGCUGCCAGCCUCUGCCGUUCCAUUGCCUUGGAUUUGGCUGUGGCGUGGGCUGGGAACCGUACGGUGUUAUCUGGGGCGUCAUCAGGUUUGGUUGUUCGGUCCAGGCCAGGCAUGAGUAGCUCCUGAGGCUGAUGGGGAUGGAUGGAUGGACAUGUGCAUGCAUGUACAUUCACUCAUUUUGCUCCGUAUGUAGUCCAUAUUGGAAUCUCUAUAAAGGCUUAUAUUUAGAAACGGAGGGAGUAUGAUCUAAACACUCUUAUAUUUCUUUACAGAGGGAGUAUGUAUGUAUGUAUGUAUUUAUGGAUAUCAGGGUCAUUUUGCUUGGUAGGCAAAGGCGAUGAUGAUGACUGUGGCCGAAAUAAGCAUGUCUUGAGCAAUCAAGACAGCUGUGGCCUGUGGGUAUUAAAUUAGAGCCCACCCUUACCUCCCUUGCAGCCUGUUCAAUUCAUCGGUGAUGUUGGCACCUUGGACGGUCAUUCUGAUGAGUGAUAACCAGGGCAGUUCUCUUACAUUGUGAUGGGUAGAUUAUGCAGCAAGAGAUGUGAGUGUUGGGUUUGAAGAUGAAAUGCAAAACUGAGCCCUCUUUUGCUUACGAUCCUUGUAUCCUCUCUCUCUCUCUCUCUCUCUCUCCCUCCCUCCCUCUCAAACAAAUCAGUCAAGCUUUCAUUGCCGCCUCGCUGACCCAUCGUCCGGGUGGCUGCCAUGUCAGUUCCCUGUCUCUACGGUGCUGCCAGGUGCCGCCAGUCCAUUGCCUUGGAUUUGGUUGUGGCGUGGCUGGGAACCGUAAGGCGUCUGAUGCGUCGUCCACACCGGGAGGUUUGGUGGGUCAAGGCCAGGUAUGAGCAGCUCCUGAGAUUGUCUAAGUUACUCACCACUAUGACUAGUCUGAUGGAUGGAUGGAUGAUGGAUGAUGGAUGGAUUGUUAUGGUCAUGUUGCUUGGGGAGUUGACCUUUUCUUUUAAGGGCAAUGAUGAUGCCUGUGGCUGAAAUAAUUAUGUGUUGAGCAAUCAGGACAGCCGUGGCAUGUGGGUACUAAAUAGGCCCCAAAUGGGUGCCGGCAUUGGAGAUGCCCUGAGAGCUCUCACCCUUACUUCUCUUGCAGCCUGUUCAAUUCAUGGCUAAUGUUGGAUGUUCUGCGCCUCGGAUGGUCAUUCUGAUGAGUGAUAACCAGGACAGUUCAAUUACAUCGCUAUGGGCAGGUUAUGCAGCAAGAGACGUGAGUGUUGGGCUUCAAGACGAACAGGCAAAACUGAGCCCUC
This is a long non-coding RNA of Triticum aestivum (bread wheat), 2484 nucleotides long. RefSeq lists it as uncharacterized. The record is from RefSeq and is a predicted model, not a curated record. NCBI's taxonomy places the organism in Eukaryota, Viridiplantae, Streptophyta, Magnoliopsida, Poales, Poaceae. The transcript has 2 exons.